This is a small nucleolar RNA of Triticum dicoccoides, 86 nucleotides long. RefSeq annotates it as small nucleolar RNA Z102/R77. The record is from RefSeq and is a predicted model, not a curated record. Lineage: Eukaryota; Viridiplantae; Streptophyta; Magnoliopsida; Poales; Poaceae. The transcript has a single exon.
AGAUGGGAUUAUGAAUGAGAUUAAUUUACCUAUUGCUUUGAUUGGCUGAUAUGAUGGCCCCAGUACUAAACAGAAUGCGAUCAUCC